UAUGAACGCUGGCGGCGUGCCUAAUACAUGCAAGUCGAGCGAACAGACGAGGAGCUUGCUCCUCUGACGUUAGCGGCGGACGGGUGAGUAACACGUGGAUAACCUACCUAUAAGACUGGGAUAACUUCGGGAAACCGGAGCUAAUACCGGAUAAUAUAUUGAACCGCAUGGUUCAAUAGUGAAAGACGGUUUUGCUGUCACUUAUAGAUGGAUCCGCGCCGCAUUAGCUAGUUGGUAAGGUAACGGCUUACCAAGGCGACGAUGCGUAGCCGACCUGAGAGGGUGAUCGGCCACACUGGAACUGAGACACGGUCCAGACUCCUACGGGAGGCAGCAGUAGGGAAUCUUCCGCAAAGGGCGAAAGCCUGACGGAGCAACGCCGCGUGAGUGAUGAAGGUCUUCGGAUCGUAAAACUCUGUUAUUAGGGAAGAACAAAUGUGUAAGUAACUAUGCACGUCUUGACGGUACCUAAUCAGAAAGCCACGGCUAACUACGUG
Molecule: ribosomal RNA, 497 nt
Filed under: uncultured bacterium
Lineage: Bacteria
Description: partial 16S ribosomal RNA
Rfam family: Bacterial small subunit ribosomal RNA
Source: RNAcentral